CGCGGAGUAGAGCAGCUUGGUAGCUCGUCAGGCUCAUAAUCUGAAGGUCGUCGGUUCAAAUCCGUCCUCCGCAACCA
Molecule: transfer RNA, 77 nt
Filed under: Mycoplasmataceae bacterium
Lineage: Bacteria; Bacillati; Mycoplasmatota; Mollicutes; Mycoplasmatales; Mycoplasmataceae
Description: tRNA-Met
Rfam family: tRNA
About the family: Transfer RNA (tRNA) molecules are approximately 80 nucleotides in length.
Source: RNAcentral